CAUCACUAGUUCGUGUACUAACCCACAUUGUUCUCUGGUCACGUCACAGCUCGCAUCCUCGGCUCAGCUCACUACUUGGACAACCGGCCAUAUCCACUGCUGUUCAUGCUCCAUUGCCAAGGAGCUUUUCAGUCUUACACCUGCCUGCCCUUUUGCCACUGCUGCACAUUAGACUCCUUGGAACUCAGAUCAGCUAUCAUCUGACACUACCUGCAAUUGGGACCACUCUUGCUACCCUCUUGUGUUGCCUGCCGUAGACCUCCGCGCUAGUUUCCCUAGACAUGAAACCUCACCCCAAACAUAGUGGUAUUUUGUGUUUACUCUUCGCUCCCAUGCCAAGUUGUUACUUUGUGUUUGGUGCAAAAAUAAAAAAGACUGUACAAAGCUAACUCAACCAUCUCUGCACUUGGUCCCACACAUGAGCUCAGUUUUUGUACAGGCCUCUGGCCCCUUUGUGACAGCUUUUAGUUUUACCCAGUAGGCACACAGAGUUUAGA
This is a long non-coding RNA of Oreochromis niloticus (Nile tilapia), 497 nucleotides long. RefSeq lists it as uncharacterized. The record is from RefSeq and is a predicted model, not a curated record. The transcript has 3 exons. NCBI's taxonomy places the organism in Eukaryota, Metazoa, Chordata, Actinopteri, Cichliformes, Cichlidae.